Molecule: ribosomal RNA, 284 nt
Filed under: uncultured fungus
Lineage: Eukaryota; Fungi
Description: partial 18S ribosomal RNA
Rfam family: Eukaryotic small subunit ribosomal RNA
Source: RNAcentral
UUGGAGGGAGUCUGGUGCCAGCAGCCGCGGUAAUUCCAGCUCCAAUAGCGUAUAUUAAAGUUGUUGCAGUUAAAAAGCUCGUAGUUGAACUUCAGACCUGACCGGGCGGUCCGCCUAACGGUGUGUACUGUCUGGCCGGGCCUUACCUCUUGGUGAGCCGGCAUGCCCUUCACUGGGUGCGUCGGGGAACCAGGACCUUUACCUUGAGAAAAUUAGAGUGUUCAAAGCGGGCUUACGCCGGAAUACAUUAGCAUGGAAUAAUAAAAUAGGACGUGCGGUUCUUA